This 426-nucleotide ribosomal RNA is filed under the name uncultured Actinomycetes bacterium. Its description in RNAcentral is "bacterial SSU rRNA". It matches the Rfam family "Bacterial small subunit ribosomal RNA", at positions 958 to 1385 of the family's 1533-position model. Lineage: Bacteria; Bacillati; Actinomycetota; Actinomycetes. The record is from RNAcentral.
AACGCGAAGAACCUUACCUGGGCUUGACAUGUUCCUGACCGCCGUGGAAACACGGCUUCCCUUCGGGGCAGGAUCACAGGUGGUGCAUGGCUGUCGUCAGCUCGUGUCGUGAGAUGUUGGGUUAAGUCCCGCAACGAGCGCAACCCCCGUCGCAUGUUGCCAGCAUUUAGUUGGGGACUCAUGCGAGACUGCCGGUGACAAACCGGAGGAAGGUGGGGAUGACGUCAAGUCAUCAUGCCCCUUAUGUCCAGGGCUACACACGUGCUACAUUGGCGCGUACAGAGGGCUGCGAUACCGCGAGGUGGAGCGAAUCCCUUAAAGCGCGUCUCGGUUCGGAUUGCAGGCUGAAACUCGCCUGCAUGAAGGCGGAGUUGCUAGUAAUCGCGGAUCAGCACUGCCGCGGUGAAUACGUUCCCGGGCCUUGUA